AAGCUCGUAGUUGAAUUUCGGGGUUUACCCAUUGGUCAGGCUUAAUUGUCUGCACUGGUGAGAUGAAUCUCUACCUUCUGAGGAACUUUCAUGCCAUUUAUUUGGUGUGAUGGGAAAUCAGGACUGUUACUUUGAAAAAAUUAGAGUGUUCAAAGCAGGCUAACGUCUGAAUACAUUAGCAUGGAAUAAUGAAAUAGGACGGACUGAUACUAUUUCGUUGGUUUCUAGGAUCACCGUAAUGAUUAAUAGGGAUAGUUGGGAAGGGC
Molecule: ribosomal RNA, 266 nt
Filed under: uncultured Glomeromycotina
Lineage: Eukaryota; Fungi; Glomeromycota
Description: partial 18S ribosomal RNA
Rfam family: Eukaryotic small subunit ribosomal RNA
Source: RNAcentral